CAUUGGCUAUCUUGAGCUUAGGGGUUGGGGUUAGGGAAAAUGUUAGGUCCCCAUGAGGACAUCGGCUAUCUUGAGCUUAGGGGUUGGGGUUAGGGAAAAUGUUAGGUCCCCGUGAGGACAUUGGCUAUCUUGAGCUUAGGGGUUGGGGUUAGGGAAAAUGUUAGGUCCCCAUGAGGACAUCGGCUAUCUUGAUCUUAGGGGUUGGGGUUAGGGAAAAUGUUAGGUCCCCAUGAGGACAUCGGCUAUCUUGAGCUUAGGGGUUGGGGUUAGGGAAAAUGUUAGGUCCCCAUGAGGACAUCGGCUAUCUUGAGCUUAGGGGUUGGGGUUAGGAAAAAUGUUAGGUCCCCGUGAGGACAUCGGCUAUCUUGAGCUUAGGGGUUGGGGUUAGGAAAAAUGUUAGGUCCCCAUGAGGACAUCGGCUAUCUUGAGCUUAGGGGUUGGGGUUAGGGAAAAUGUUAGGUCCCCAUGAGGACAUCGGCUAUCUUGAGCUUAGGGGUUGGGGUUAGGGAAAAUGUUAGGUCCCCUUGAGGACAUCGGCUAUCUUGAGCUUAGGGGUUGGGGUUAGGGAAAAUGUUAGGUCCCCAUGAGGACAUCGGCUAUCUUGAGCUUAGGGGUUGGGGUUAGGGAAAAUGUUAGGUCCCCGUGAGGACAUCGGCUAUCUUGAGCUUAGGGGUUGGGGUUAGGGAAAAUGUUAGGUCCCCGUGAGGACAUCGGCUAUCUUGAGCUUAGGGGUUGGGGUUAGGGAAAAUGUUAGGUCCCCGUGAGGACAUCGGCUAUCUUGAGCUUAGGGGUUGGGGUUAGGGAAAAUGUUAGGUCCCCGUGAGGACAUCGGCUAUCUUGAGCUUAGGGGUUGGGGUUAGGGAAAAUGUUAGGUCCCCGUGAGGACAUCGGCUAUCUUGAGCUUAGGGGUUGGGGUUAGGGAAAAUGUUAGGUCCCCUUGAGGACAUCGGCUAUCUUGAGCUUAGGGGUUGGGGUUAGGGAAAAUGUUAGGUCCCCAUGAGGAUCUAAAAACAUGUGAAGGUGUUUAA
Long non-coding RNA from Oncorhynchus keta (chum salmon), 1028 nucleotides. RefSeq lists it as uncharacterized. The transcript is spliced from 3 exons. The record is from RefSeq and is a predicted model, not a curated record. Lineage: Eukaryota; Metazoa; Chordata; Actinopteri; Salmoniformes; Salmonidae.